RNAcentral lists this ribosomal RNA (253 nucleotides) under uncultured bacterium. Its description in RNAcentral is "partial 16S ribosomal RNA". It matches the Rfam family "Bacterial small subunit ribosomal RNA", at positions 524 to 776 of the family's 1533-position model. The record is from RNAcentral.
UACAGAGGGUGCAAACGUUGUUCGGAAUUACUGGGCGUAAAGCGUGUGUAGGCGGUCCGCUAAGUCGGGUGUGAAAUCCCUGGGCUCAACCCAGGAAGUGCACUCGAAACUGGCGGGCUAGAGUAUCGGAGAGGUUGGUGGAAUUCUCGGUGUAGAGGUGAAAUUCGUAGAUAUCGAGAGGAACACCGGUGGCGAAGGCGGCCAACUGGACGAAUACUGACGCUGAGACACGAAAGCGUGGGGAGCAAACAGG